AACGAACGCUGGCGGCAGGCCUAACACAUGCAAGUCGAGCGCCCCAGCGAUGGGGAGCGGCGGACGGGUGAGUAACGCGUGGGAACGUGCCUCUUGCUACGGAAUAGCCUCGGGAAACUGGGAGUAAUACCGUAUGUGCCCUACGGGGGAAAGAUUUAUCGGCAAGAGAUCGGCCCGCGUUGGAUUAGGUAGUUGGUGGGGUAAUGGCCUACCAAGCCGACGAUCCAUAGCUGGUUUGAGAGGAUGAUCAGCCACACUGGGACUGAGACACGGCCCAGACUCCUACGGGAGGCAGCAGUGGGGAAUCUUAGACAAUGGGCGCAAGCCUGAUCUAGCCAUGCCGCGUGAGCGAUGAAGGCCUUAGGGUUGUAAAGCUCUUUCGGGGGGGAAGAGUAAUGACUGUACCCCCAGAAGAAGCCCCGGCUAACUCCGUG
Molecule: ribosomal RNA, 434 nt
Filed under: uncultured bacterium
Lineage: Bacteria
Description: bacterial SSU rRNA
Rfam family: Bacterial small subunit ribosomal RNA
Source: RNAcentral